RNAcentral lists this ribosomal RNA (254 nucleotides) under uncultured bacterium. RNAcentral's name for it is "partial 16S ribosomal RNA". It matches the Rfam family "Bacterial small subunit ribosomal RNA", at positions 79 to 334 of the family's 1533-position model. The record is from RNAcentral.
CUUUCUUUGCUGGCGACCGGCGCACGGGUGAGUAACACGUAUCCAACCUGCCCUUUACUCGGGGAUAGCCUUUCGAAAGAAAGAUUAAUACCCGAUAGUAUAAUGAUUCCGCAUGGUUUCAUUAUUAAAGGAUUCCGGUAAAGGAUGGGGAUGCGUUCCAUUAGGUUGUUGGUGAGGUAACGGCUCACCAAGCCUUUGAUGGAUAGGGGUUCUGAGAGGAAGGUCCCCCACAUUGGAACUGAGACACGGUCCAA